GGGCCGGUAGCUUAGCAUGGUUAGAGCGGCGGACUCUUAAUCCGCAGGUCGGGGGUUCGAAU
RNAcentral lists this transfer RNA (62 nucleotides) under Thermococcus sibiricus MM 739. Its description in RNAcentral is "tRNA-Lys". It matches the Rfam family "tRNA", at positions 1 to 58 of the family's 71-position model. From Rfam's summary of the family: Transfer RNA (tRNA) molecules are approximately 80 nucleotides in length. Their secondary structure includes four short double-helical elements and three loops (D, anti-codon, and T loops). Further hydrogen bonds mediate the characteristic L-shaped molecular structure. tRNAs have two regions of fundamental functional importance: the anti-codon, which is responsible for specific mRNA codon recognition, and the 3' end, to which the tRNAs corresponding amino acid is attached (by aminoacyl-tRNA synthetases). tRNAs cope with the degeneracy of the genetic code in two manners: having more than one tRNA (with a specific anti-codon) for a particular amino acid; and 'wobble' base-pairing, i.e. permitting non-standard base-pairing at the 3rd anti-codon position. Lineage: Archaea; Methanobacteriati; Methanobacteriota; Thermococci; Thermococcales; Thermococcaceae. The record is from RNAcentral.